RNAcentral lists this ribosomal RNA (459 nucleotides) under uncultured bacterium. Its description in RNAcentral is "partial 16S ribosomal RNA". It matches the Rfam family "Bacterial small subunit ribosomal RNA", at positions 339 to 795 of the family's 1533-position model. The record is from RNAcentral.
CUACGGGUGGCAGCAGUGAGGAAUAUUGGUCAAUGGGCGCAAGCCUGAACCAGCCACUCCGCGUGUAGGAUGACUGCCCUAUGGGUUGUAAACUACUUUUAUACAGGAAGAAACCUCCAUACGUGUAUGGAGCUGACUGUACUGUAAGAAUAAGCAUCGGCUAACUCCGUGCCAGCAGCCGCGGUAAUACGGAGGAUGCAAGCGUUAUCCGGAUUUAUUAGGUCUAAAGGGUGCGUAGGCGGAUAUUUAAGUCAGUGGUGAAAUCCUACAGCUUAACUGUAGAACUGCCAUUGAUACUGGAUAUCUUGAGUUUAGUUGAGGUAAGCGGAAUGUGUAGUGUAGCGGUGAAAUGCUUAGGUAUUACACAGAACACCGAUUGCGAAGGCAGCUUACUAAGCUAACACUGACGCUGAGGCACGAAAGCGUGGGGAGCGAACAGGAUUAGAUACCCCUGUAGUC